UACCCUUAUUUGCCAGCGCGAUUCGGCGGGAACUAUAAGGGGACUGCCGGUGAUAAACCGGAGGAAGGUGAGGACGACGUCAAGUCAUCAUGGCCCUUACGCAUAGGGCUACACACGUGCUACAAUGGAGAAUACAGACGGACGCUAAGCCGCGAGGUGGUGCCAAUCCUAGAAAAUUCUUCGUAGUCCGGAUUGGUGUCUGCAACUCGACUCCAUGAAGUCGGAAUCGCUAGUAAUCGCGAAUCAGCAUGUCGCGGUGAAUACGUUC
Molecule: ribosomal RNA, 268 nt
Filed under: unidentified gamma proteobacterium groupI
Lineage: Bacteria; Pseudomonadati; Pseudomonadota; Gammaproteobacteria
Description: partial 16S small subunit ribosomal RNA
Rfam family: Bacterial small subunit ribosomal RNA
Source: RNAcentral